UGGUUCAGGACGAACGCUGGCGGCGUGCCUAAUACAUGCAAGUCGAACGGCUUUUCUAUGGAAGCUUGCUUCCACUGAGAAGAUAGUGGCGAACGGGUGAGUAACACGUGGGUAACCCGCCCAUAAGAGGGGGGAUAACAUCCGGAAACGGGUGCUAAUACCGCAUAGUUUUCUUGAUCGCAUGAUUGAGAAAGGAAAGACGGCCUUUGUGCUGUCGCUUAUGGAUGGACCCGCGGCGUAUUAGUUAGUUGGUGAGGUAAUGGCUCACCAAGACGAUGAUACGUAGCCGACCUGAGAGGGUGAUCGGCCACAUUGGGACUGAGACACGGCCCAAACUCCUACGGGAGGCAGCAGUAGGGAAUCUUCCGCAAUGGACGAAAGUCUGACGGAGCAACGCCGCGUGAGUGAAAGAAGGUUUUCGGAUCGUAAAACUCUGUUGUCAGAGAAGAACAAGUUGGAGAGUAACUGCUCCAGCCUUGACGGUAUCUGACCAGAAAGCCACGGCUAACUACGUGCCAGCCGCGGC
RNAcentral lists this ribosomal RNA (526 nucleotides) under uncultured bacterium. RNAcentral describes it as "bacterial SSU rRNA". It matches the Rfam family "Bacterial small subunit ribosomal RNA", at positions 20 to 518 of the family's 1533-position model. The record is from RNAcentral.